AUUGAACGCUGGCGGAAUGCUUUACACAUGCAAGUCGAACGGCAGCACGGACUUCGGUCUGGUGGCGAGUGGCGAACGGGUGAGUAAUGUAUCGGAACGUGCCCAGUCGUGGGGGAUAACGUAGUGAAAAUUGCGCUAAUACCGCAUACGAUCUAUGGAUGAAAGCGGGGGAUCGCAAGACCUCGCGCGAUUGGAGCGGCCGAUAUCAGAUUAGGUAGUUGGUGGGGUAAAGGCCCACCAAGCCAACGAUCUGUAGCUGGUCUGAGAGGACGACCAGCCACACUUGAACUGAGACACGGUCCAGACUCCUACGGGAGGCAGCAGUGGGGAAUUUUGGACAAUGGGCGCAAGCCUGAUCCAGCCAUUCCGCGUGCAGGAUGAAGGCCCUCGGGUUGUAAGCUGCUUUUGUACACAACGAAAAGGUUUCUACUAAUACUAGGAGCUCAUGACGGUACUGUAAGAAUAAGCACCGGCUAACUACGUGCCAGCCGCCGCCGUAA
This 500-nucleotide ribosomal RNA is filed under the name uncultured bacterium. Its description in RNAcentral is "partial 16S ribosomal RNA". It matches the Rfam family "Bacterial small subunit ribosomal RNA", at positions 30 to 523 of the family's 1533-position model. The record is from RNAcentral.